UGGCGUGUAGCCAAGUGGUUAAGGCAAUAGACUUUGACUCUAUGAACGGUGGUUCGAAUCCCCCUACGCCAGCCA
This 75-nucleotide transfer RNA is filed under the name Clostridia bacterium. RNAcentral's name for it is "tRNA-Gln". It matches the Rfam family "tRNA". From Rfam's summary of the family: Transfer RNA (tRNA) molecules are approximately 80 nucleotides in length. Their secondary structure includes four short double-helical elements and three loops (D, anti-codon, and T loops). The record is from RNAcentral. Lineage: Bacteria; Bacillati; Bacillota; Clostridia.